GAUGAACGCUGGCGGCGUGCUUAACACAUGCAAGUCGAACGAAGCAUUUAGGACAGAUUACUUCGGUUUGAAGUUCUUUAUGACUGAGUGGCGGACGGGUGAGUAACGCGUGGGUAACCUGCCUUGUACUGGGGGAUAGCAGCUGGAAACGGCUGGUAAUACCGCAUAAGCGCACAAUGUUGCAUGACAUGGUGUGAAAAACUCCGGUGGUAUAAGAUGGACCCGCGUCUGAUUAGCUAGUUGGUGAGAUAACAGCCCACCAAGGCGACGAUCAGUAGCCGACCUGAGAGGGUGACCGGCCACAUUGGACUGAGACACGGCCCAGACUCCUACGGGAGGCAGCAGUGGGGAAUAUUGCACAAUGGAGGAAACUCUGAUGCAGCGACGCCGCGUGAGUGAAGAAGUAAUUCGUUAUGUAAAGCUCUAUCAGCAGGGAAGAUAGUGACGGUACCUGACUAAGAAGCUCCGGCUAAAUACGUG
RNAcentral lists this ribosomal RNA (480 nucleotides) under uncultured bacterium. Its description in RNAcentral is "partial 16S ribosomal RNA". It matches the Rfam family "Bacterial small subunit ribosomal RNA", at positions 28 to 507 of the family's 1533-position model. The record is from RNAcentral.